CUCAAGAUGGGGAGUGACUGGGGAGCUGACCCAGGAGACCUGACGCAGGAUUUCCUGAGCCACUUGGACCAACACUGUUUCUUUUCUGAAGGCAGAUGAUGCUCCCAAGGAGGCCCUGAGAGUGUGGUCAGUUACAUGACUCUGCCUUAUGGUUGACUGCCUUUGGAUCCUGUGCUGUUCAUUUCUAGACCAGAAGGAGUUCAGAUCUUACAAAUCCAGAGGGCACCAUCAGAUCACCAUGAGACUGCUGAUGCAACCAUCUCAGGUCCCUCAUUGCAUUUGGCGAUUCUCCUAUUCAGAGCCUUUGUUUAACAUAUUGUGAUUGGGCUGGAGCCAGCGGGAUCUGAACAAAUUCCCCUUCUAAAUAUUGACUCUGUGACAUUUGAGCCCCUGCCAGCUGGGAUGGCGCCAAGGCUGUUAAUAGCUGUGAAGAGGGAGAGUGAUAAGAAGUUCUAGGGGAUUAUAAACCAGAAUGAAUUUCUCACUAAAGGACCCACUAUUUUAAAAUAUUAUUUAUUUAUUCAUUCAGGCAUCCAUUCACUCAUUUACUCUUGGGUUUCACAGCACUCCCUGUGCCAGACUGUGCCAGGUGACAGGGACAAGGAGUCAUCUAUGCACAGAUCCUGCUCUCAAGGCGCUCUCAAUCAAUCUCAGGGGACAGAGGCACAAACCCUGUGGAGAAAAGUGAGGAACCACAUGUGCCACAUCACAGGAGCACCUGGGAUGGGUCCCCAAACUGGAGGGCUCCUGGGGGAGGUGACAGGAACCUGGGUCAUAAAUGGGGCAGGAGUUCACCAGCCAAGAGUUGGGGAGGCAUUGCACAUAGAAGGGCACAGGAGUGAAGCACUUAAACUUCUGUAGUCUUCAAUUUCUUCAUCUAUAAAAAGAGUGAAGGCCUAGACCCAACCUCAUGACGUUCCUGAGAGGGUUAGAGAGCAAUGCUGACAAUCACACACCCAGGGUCUUACCCUCCAGCAGGUCUUGGCUCUCAACUGUGGGAGAUGGGUCGGUGGUGAUUCAUUCUUGCUCUUGCUCAUCCUUCUUAGUGGACUGGGUGUGAGUUUCCAGCAUCCAGCAGCCAGAAUCAGGAGGAAGCCCAAAGCCAAGGAACAAAGUAAAGCUUAGCCGUGGAGGCGAAGUGAUGCGUCACCAAGCACAGAUCACCAGACGGAACAGCAGCCGAAUGUGGCAGACCCCUGGGCUAACAGACCAGGAGAAGAACUCCAAUGGAGUCUGCCAGCGUCUGUGUCACCACACCUGUACUAUGUCACAACAAUGGCUGCCACCAAUGUCUCAGUCUCUGGAGAGGUCUCACCUCUCACUGAGAUGCACCCAGAGGCUACCAGGUAAGUCUCUUUUCACCAAAGGACUGCACACUUUUCUUUAUGGUGAUUUUAGUUUGCUUUCUGAGAUGGGUGAAUUUGUGUCUGGUCCCUUUAAGAGCUGUGUUAUUCUGCUUAUGUCCUAUAGCUUUUCUGAGAGUAUUCCCCCAUUGCACUUAACAGCCAGUGAAGGCAGAUACUAUGACACCUGUCUCAGCUGUGCUGUGUCUGAAGGAUGCUCAUAGCAGUAAUACACCCCUGCUCAGGUCCCCUGCUCCUCCAGGGAAGGCUGCACACCUUAGGUUUGCUCCCAGCCCAUCGUGAAGCUCCACAGCUUGCAAAGGUGGCUUUUUUCUGUCCAGAAGGAAUUUCUGCCUUUUCCACCUCGGUCAGGACUGUCCCUGUUGUGGGGAUUCUUUUUAUCCAGUUUUCUGUUCUCUCUCUGGGGUAAUUUUUCCAAGAAUAGUUGUAACCUGGUUGUGUUCGUGGGAAGAGGUGAGUUCAGAGUCCGCCUACACCACCAUCUUGACGGGAUCUCUAAAUACUUUUCUUUAACUCAGUAUAUAUGACUCAAGAUUUUAUUUAACCUCAGUUAUUAUUAUAACAUGUAAUCAAUAUUAAAAAAUAAUAAUGAGACAUUUUUAUGCUAAAUCUUUGAAAUCUGGUUUGCCUUUUACACUACAGUACAUCUCAGUUUGGGCUACCCACACUUCAAGUGCUCAACAGCCAAAUGUGGCUAAGACUACCUGUUAGAUCUUGCAGCUUUAGAUUUUAGAAUUAUCAGGCAGGUAUUUUAAAAUAACUAUGCUUACUAUAUUUAAUGAGCUAAGAAAAAGAUGAAAAAUUCAAUAUAGAAUUGGAAAUUAUAUAAAAGUGAUAGAGGAUAUUUGAAUUAUGGAAUAAUCCAAAACCGUAAAAUUGAGUAACUGAAAUUAACAACUAAGUGGAUCCCUUUAGUAGCAGCUUAUACAUAACAUACCCAAGGAGAGAGCUGGUCAACUGGAAUGACCAUCAGAAAAAAUUAUGUAGAAUGAGGUACAGAAAGACAAAAGGGUGGAAAAAUCCAGAAGAAAGAGAAGAGACAUAGCAGACACAUGAGAAGGUUUACCACACAUUAAUUGGAAUCCUAAAGGGAGAGGUAAGAGACAAAAAGGGAGAAGCUGUUUUUGAAGAGAUAAUGGCUGGGAAUUUUUCAAAACUAAUUAGAAAUCUGUUGUCAAUUUCAUUGCCUUUCCAUUGAGGAGAAUCUUAUCAAAGGUUGCUUUACAAUUUUUCCUUCUUCAAGUUCUUCUCUUUGAAGAUCUUGAAGAUAUUGUGCAAUUUCACCACAACGUGCCUAGGAGCGAACUGAUCUUUAUAUUUCCUACUUGGGAUUUAUUGUGUUUCCAGAAAUGGAAGAUUAAUGUCUUUCACAAAAUCUGGAAAAUACUUAGCUAUUAGCUCUUUGAAAGUUUCCUCUCCCUCAUUUUCUCUCUUCUCUGCUUUUGGAAGCCCUGUUAGAUGUCAGUUGGACCAUUUCAUUGUGGAUCCCUAUUUUCUACCUCUCUCUUUAGUUUCAGAAUGAAACUCUCACCACUCAAUUUUGAAUGAGUUUUCAAAUUAAUCAUCCAGUUCACUGAUGCUCUAUUGAAACUAGGUCUAAUACGCUGGUUCACCAAUAAGUUGAGUUUUUAAUUUUAAACUUUUAUUGUUAGAAGUUUUGUCUGGUUCUAUUUCAAAUAUAGCUGGUCUUUUAUGAUAGCGUCUCAUUAUUUGAAAUGUUUUUAUUCAUUCCUUAUGCUUUAAUGAUUUAAAUACAGAUACUUUACAGUUUUAUUGAUAGUUUUAUAUCUGUAUUUCCUGAGGACCUAACCUGCUGUGUUGAAUGGGCUUAUUUCACUUACUGUGGGUUGAGUCUUGUGUUCUGUAAGUUUAAAACAUGAGCUUUUCUUUCGAUUUCAUAUAACUUGGAAGCAAUAACUUUCACAAGCUAACCCCUGAGUUCAUAUAUCUCUUCACUGGAAAGGCUAGAAGAAAAGGGGAGGGGCCAACCCCAAGGCUUAGGGCCUGUUGAUGCUAAAGAGGUUUAACAAAGUCAGGCCUGACUCAGACCAGAAUCCCUGUUUGGGAGAGUCUCUUUGGGCCCAGUGGGAGGUGGGGUGGGGACAGCAGGCACACAAGUCAGGGGCAGGACUCACAUUUGAGUGAGAGCUGCAUGGUGGCUCCACAGUAUGUGUCAAGGGGAAGGGGACUCCUCCAGGGGGCUAAGAGGAGAGGGGCCUGGGUCUAACCCGGGGAGGAGGGCUGGGAAUGCCUUGCAGACCCAAGUCAACAGGCUGGAGUUCAGGGCUGUGUUCUCACAGAAAGAGCCGCUUUGAAUCCCUUUGUGCCACAGAAACUUGGAAAUACAAAUUUGGAACACAGCACCCCAAACCUUCGCAAAGGGGAGUUAUUGUGUUUACCAAAAGGUCUUGCGCUCCACUGGGAUCAAAACUACUAGAAAACGUACCGUCGAUGACAGGACAGCUAAGGGCUGUGUUCAGCCCCUUUUUCUAAAACCGGAGUGUUCUCGAGAAGGAAAAUCUUGCCUCAUUUAAGAAGACCAGCAAUGAUUGUGAAUGUGGAAUAGAGACAGGAGGGCCAGGAGGAGGUUCGGGAAAGAAGGGCUGAGGAGGGGCCUGGAAAUAAUGUAACAAGAGCAUCACCAAAUCCAGACCAGGCGAGGCAGGGCUGGGUGGCGCCGGGCCAAGCGGCAUGGUGAGUGGGGCGGAAUCCGCAGAGCCCGGGUUCCGCAUCCGUUUGGGCAGCACCGCCGAGCAGCGCCUGCCAGGGGAGAAGGAGCCG
Molecule: long non-coding RNA, 4145 nt
Organism: Equus asinus (donkey)
Lineage: Eukaryota; Metazoa; Chordata; Mammalia; Perissodactyla; Equidae
Source: Ensembl